UCGGCUAGAAGAUUGUGAAAAGGAGCUUAGGAUGCAGUAGCGGAAGCUAUGGAUUCAGCAUUGGUUUAUGCUGAUGCUGAAAAACAAAUGAGGCAUGAAAAACAUUACAGAUACGUUAGCACUCACGAUGUCGCGUAUUGGGCCCGUAGCUUUUGGCAAGAUCUCGAGCGAUCAUGCCGGGAUCAUGUGAGGAGAGGGUGUUGGGGUAUCGGGUUUGGGUUAGGGUUCCGCGUUGUUGCAUUAGAUCCGAAUUUCCGAAAACUUUUGAUCGAACGUAUUGUUUCUUCUUACAAACGGACAAAAAAAGUGCCAUUUUGUUGGAUUACGAUGGUACCAUGACGCUGCAGAGUUCAAUCAGCACGGGCCCGAAUUCAGAAGUUAUAGAAAUAGUGAAUAGUUUGUGUCAAGACCCGAAAAAUGUUGUUUUUAUCGUUAGCGGGAAGGACCGUGUUACAUUGACCGAAUGGUUUUCUUCGUGUGAAAAAUUGGGCGUUGCAGCUGAGCAUGGUUAUUUCUUUAGAUGUCGGAUCCAUUAACAGCCCUAAUGCACGCAGUGCAAGUCAUGAACUAACCCACUCUGCAAUCCCUUUGGAACGCAACAUUGAUGUCAACUAACCCUAAUCGGCCCUCCCAUCAGUGGUGAAUGAAGAGAUUUAGGAUUUCUCCGGUGAGUUCAAGAUGCAAAAGUUGAGUGAUUUUAAUCGGACGCCAAAGAAGGUUUCCUAUUGUAGUUCCUUCCUAGCCGUCGCCAUCACCAUUAGCUCCAUAUCCGCCCUCAAUCAUGGCCAUCCAGUUCUCCACAAUCGAUGAUUCUACAAUCUACAUACUGUAAUUUCAUUUUCAAUUAACCCAUCUACGAUUAAAGCUCAUCCGAAUGGGGAUUUUCACCUCAAGAAUGAAGGAGCUCUUUGUGGUUCCGGCAACCGAGACGAGACCAAAAGUGGCACGAGACUUCGGGCAACUGUACUGUAAAUAAAUUGAGGUCAUGAAUCAUGACGGGAGUAGCAGAACAGGGUAUUCCUUCCUUCUAAUGACCUCCUUUUUCUUUAAGGUUUAAAUCACAUGUUUUGUAUCUCACAUUGAGAAGGCUCUCAAUUUAAAACUUUUUGAUGGAUGUAUGCAUAUUACUACUGCUUUGAGCACAUGGAUAACAUUGCUUAUAAAGUAGAGGCCAGAUAAUGAUAGGCUUUGCACCAGGUUCUUACUUCUUUGUAAAUAUAUGUGAAGCUUCAUAAAGGUACUUAGAAUGGUGUGGAUGUUGCUAUUAAACUUAUGAAAAAACAAAGAAUAAAUUGUUAAUUUCAAACGACUAUUUUUCAUAUUCAUAAUUUCUAAUGAUCAAUUUACAUUGGUAAUGAAAAGAAAUAAGUUAAUAAAAAUUAAGAGACACUCUAAAAUUCCUAAUGUAUAUAUGUUAUAUUAAUACUAAUAUUUUUUUCCAACAUCACAAUAAGAGUUAUAAGCUUACAAUACUUUCUACAAGUAUAUCAUAAGAAAGAGGCUGAAGAAAUUAUAUUGUUGGUCAAAUCGAUGCAAAAGUUGAAGUCGGAGUCAUCAUCGCUUCUUGACGGUGAUAACCACCGUAGUCACCGGGACCAAGGUCUACCACUGUUAUCUCUGUAGUUCUCAGGUACGUCUAUCUCUCCUUUCUCAUCGUCGUCCAGUCAAGUGUGUACGUUGUUUUAGAAGCUGCUUCUUUUUCCUUUCUACCACAUGUCUUUUCUUGCACCAUACUUGAAUUCAGGUCUAAAACAAUAUACAAAUACAUCUUUGUGGAAGAAAGGAAGAAAGAGAAAGAGAAAGGACGUGUCUCCGCUUAAUUGGUUUUGAGCAAGCUUUCUGGUGAUUGAACUCCAAAUGCUACUAAGGUUUGUGAUUGAUCUGCGGCGGAUGAAGUGAAAGUGAUUUUUUUUUUUUUUUUGCUUUGAAACUCAUACAGAUUUGAAGUACAUGCUAUUAUUUGCGAUUGCGAAACCCUAACUUUGAUCUCUCUUUACAUCUUCGCUUGAUGAAAGUGAAGCAGAGUUGCAUUAGGGUUUCAUGGUGGGUGAUAGCAACGGCAAAGGUAGUUCAUAGGAAGAAAAAGUGGAAUGAUUUGCUUGUGGAUCACUACAAGGAGAAGAAUAGAGUAACCGAGAGAGAAUCUAAAUAGAUAAUGACCGAAAAGACUUGCAACUCAGAAGAUGAAGAGGAUGGUUGUGUUACUUAAUUUUCUAAAUACGUCAACAAUGUCACGAGAAGGCACGUAACUUUAUCCAAAUUUUUCUUUCUUUUGUUUUUUUCAAUUGCAAUGAUAUAAGAUGUUUUUUCAUUGAUAUCAUUGAUAACAUGUAAGCUAAUGAGUUUAAUUUUGUAGAUGAUUAAACUAAGUGAUUUCUAUGUCGUUUUCCUUACGGUGUGCUGGAGACUUCGGGUAAACAAAAACGGGAAAGGUCUUUCAGAACAGGAACGUUUUGGUUGUCAACUUGGUGGAGGAUACCAAAGAUAAUACUUUUUGGUUGAUGAGGACUAGAGCCAAGAGAAAGCUUCUGACAUAGGACAAUUGGAAACACUUUGUUUUUUGUGUUGCUUUUAGUUUUCAUUUGUAUGUGUUGCUCCUUGCUAAGGUUCAGCUUUUUUGUUUGGCAAUAAAGUUCCGUUUUGUUGGUAAAAAAACGACUCAACUAAGUGAUGAAGAUCUAUCCCAUUGAGAUAUUGCUUUCUCAUAUAUUGGUGAGAUUUUAUAUGAUAUUUUGUUUUCACUGA
This is a long non-coding RNA of Helianthus annuus (common sunflower), 2745 nucleotides long. RefSeq lists it as uncharacterized. The record is from RefSeq and is a predicted model, not a curated record. NCBI's taxonomy places the organism in Eukaryota, Viridiplantae, Streptophyta, Magnoliopsida, Asterales, Asteraceae. The transcript has 7 exons.